UUCGAUGCAACGCGAAGAACCUUACCUGGUCUUGACAUCCCGGAGACCCUUAGGAACUAGGGGUGCUUCCAUCUGGAAGAAUCUGGAGACAGGUGCUGCAUGGCUGUCGUCAGCUCGUGUCGUGAGAUGUUGGGUUUAAGUCCCGCAACGAGCGCAACCCUUGCCUUUAGUUGCCAGCAGUUCGGCUGGGCACUCUAAAGGGACUGCCGGUGUUAAACCGGAGGAAGUGGGGAUGACGUCAAGUCCUCAUGGCCUUUAUGACCAGGGCUACACACGUACUACAAUGGCCGAUACAAAGGGCAGCGACACUGCGAGGUGAAGCCAAUCCCGUAAAAUCGGUCUCAGUCCGGAUUGGAGUCUGCAACUCGACUCCAUGAAGUUGGAAUCGCUAGUAAUCGUGGAUCAGCAUGCCACGGUGAAUACGUUCCCGGGCCUU
RNAcentral lists this ribosomal RNA (436 nucleotides) under uncultured Desulfobulbus sp. RNAcentral describes it as "bacterial SSU rRNA". It matches the Rfam family "Bacterial small subunit ribosomal RNA", at positions 950 to 1382 of the family's 1533-position model. The record is from RNAcentral. Lineage: Bacteria; Pseudomonadati; Thermodesulfobacteriota; Desulfobulbia; Desulfobulbales; Desulfobulbaceae.